This 450-nucleotide ribosomal RNA is filed under the name uncultured bacterium. RNAcentral describes it as "bacterial SSU rRNA". It matches the Rfam family "Bacterial small subunit ribosomal RNA", at positions 354 to 796 of the family's 1533-position model. The record is from RNAcentral.
GUGGGGAAUUUUGGACAAUGGGCGCAAGCCUGAUCCAGCCAUGCCGCGUGCAGGAUGAAGGCCUUCGGGUUGUAAACUGCUUUUGUACGGAACGAAAAAGCUCUCUCUAAUACAGGGGGUGAAUGACGGUACCGUAAGAAUAAGCACCGGCUAACUACGUGCCAGCAGCCGCGGUAAUACGUAGGGUGCAAGCGUUAAUCGGAAUUACUGGGCGUAAAGCGUGCGCAGGCGGUUUUGUAAGACAGGCGUGAAAUCCACGGGCUCAACCUGGGAAUUGCGCUUGUGACUGCAAGGCUGGAGUGCGGCAGAGGGGGAUGGAAUUACGCGUGUAGCAGUGAAAUGCGUAGAUAUGCGGAGGAACACCGAUGGCGAAGGCAAUCCACUGGGCCUGCACUGACGCUCAUGCACGAAAGCGUGGGGAGCAAACAGGAUUAGAAACCCUGGUAGUCC